UCUUCUUCAUCUUCUACUUCUUCUUUUUCACAUCAAGAGCAAAUAAGGGGCUUUGGAGUUUUCAAACGCAAUUUAAAACGUGCACCCCUUGGAUUUUGGCAUGCACUAAUGUAGGGGGCUUUUCUUCCCUUUGAUUUACCUGUUUUCUAUGUGGAAUUUCUAUGUGGUAACCAACUGGUUUUGGUUGGGUUUGAUUUAAAUUUUCAGAAAAUCCUCACUGGUUCUUACAAAAGAUAGUGCUUUGAUUCUCAAUGGAUUGUGCUACUUUUUGUUUCAAGAGUUUGGAGCUAGCUCGAUGUAGUAAGCUGAGAAUAGCUUGCGGCGUGGAUUUAUGGACACAAUGUGGCAUAUAUUGUUGUCCUUGUAUAUAUAUAUCAUGGGCUGGGGUGUUUUAGUGUUAAUGUGAAGUUAGUUUUUAUUAAAUUUUUCCCAAGUAUGGAUGCUAAAAAUUUUGUACAGUUGAAUGAUAGUUUUGUGCAAAACACUUGUGUACAUUUUUAUAGUUAAUUUCAUUUGUUAAUGGGAGUUGAAUAUUAAAUCUC
Molecule: long non-coding RNA, 542 nt
Organism: Papaver somniferum (opium poppy)
Lineage: Eukaryota; Viridiplantae; Streptophyta; Magnoliopsida; Ranunculales; Papaveraceae
Exons: 2
Source: RefSeq, a predicted model, not a curated record